GCGAAAUGCGAUACUUGGUGUGAAUUGCAGAAUCCCGUGAACCAUCGAGUCUUUGAACGCAAGUUGCGCCUGAAGCCGUCAGGCUGAGGGCACGUCUGCCUGGGCGUCACG
Molecule: ribosomal RNA, 111 nt
Filed under: Convolvulus gharbensis
Lineage: Eukaryota; Viridiplantae; Streptophyta; Magnoliopsida; Solanales; Convolvulaceae
Description: partial 5.8S ribosomal RNA
Rfam family: 5.8S ribosomal RNA
About the family: 5.8S ribosomal RNA (5.8S rRNA) is a component of the large subunit of the eukaryotic ribosome. It is transcribed by RNA polymerase I as part of the 45S precursor that also contains 18S and 28S rRNA.
Source: RNAcentral